UUGGGAAACCUGCCUGAGGAAGAGAAGUCACAUAGAAGAAUUUAAGGCUAGGACCCAGAGGAAGGGGUUGCCAGCUCAGAAUGACCUGACAAGGAAAGGCGGACAAGGACACUUCGCAUGGAAAAGAGUUGAAGUUCUAAACAUGUGCUUCUGGGUGCAUUAUUCUACAACGAGAUUUUUAAAGUUCCUCCAGGACUUCUGGGAGAAGCUGCCUUUCUGUUUACCAAGCAUUCCUAGGGCACAGUAUUGAGAUUUAUGAAAAGAAGAUAGGACUUGUAAUCCCAAGAUGCAGAAUCGUUAAGAGCAGUGAAGAAGCACAGGCAGAUCUACACAGUGAAGACGCACCAUCCCAACAGCGUGCACAGAGGCUCUGUGCUCCCAUGUCGUCACAGCCUGCAGGAGAAGAGAAAUGACUGCCUGCCGGACGGUGAAGGGCAGUCUCUUCCAGAAUAUUCUGAUAUGCCUCCCAAGAAAAGGCACUCAGGCAAACCGGGGCUUCUAAAAGCCGGAGUGCCCACUUAUUUUUCCAAUGCCUGACUUUAGAUUUCUCCAAAGGAAAUAACAUAUUUACUAAACUACCUCUAAAUGUGUACCCAGGAAACAGACCACCCUAAAGACCUGUCUGGAGAAACAGCAAGCUCCAGGUGAGUGGAGGAGGUGAUCUGGCUUCCAGCUACAUACAAUUUACCCUUGGGUUGCAUUAACGGAGCUCAUUAUCUGAAGCCAAAAGGUGACAGUUCUCUUUGAAACGGUCAUCAAGCAUCUAAAGAGCUGUGCUCAGUUCC
Long non-coding RNA from Alexandromys fortis (reed vole), 785 nucleotides. RefSeq lists it as uncharacterized. The transcript has 3 exons. NCBI's taxonomy places the organism in Eukaryota, Metazoa, Chordata, Mammalia, Rodentia, Cricetidae. The record is from RefSeq and is a predicted model, not a curated record.